UUGCCUUUAGGAGGGGGAUAACAGAGUGAAAACGCUGCUAAUACCCCAUAUGCUUUCGAGUGAAAUGGAUUUAUUCGCCUAAAGAGAAGCUCGCGGCUGAUUAGCUUGUUGGUAAGGUAAUGGCUUACCAAGGCGACGAUCAGUAUCUGGUUUGAGAGGACGAUCAGACACACUGGAACUGAGACACGGUCCAGACUCCUACGGGAGGCAGCAGUGGGGAAUUUUCCGCAAUGGGCGAAAGCCUGACGGAGCAAUACCGCGUGAGGGAUGACUGCCUAUGGGUUGUAAACCUCUUUUCUCAGGGAGGAAAUCAAUGACGUUACCUGAGGAAUAAGCAUCGGCUAACUCCGUGCCAGCAGCCGCGGUAAGACGGAGGAUGCAAGUGUUAUCCGGAAUCACUGGGCGUAAAGCGUCUGUAGGUGGCUUAACAAGUCAACUGUUAAAUCUUGAAGCUCAACUUCGAAAUCGCAGUCGAAACUGUUAGGCUAGAGUAUAGUAGGGGUAAAGGGAAUUUCCAGUGG
This 521-nucleotide ribosomal RNA is filed under the name uncultured Arcocellulus. RNAcentral's name for it is "bacterial SSU rRNA". It matches the Rfam family "Bacterial small subunit ribosomal RNA", at positions 126 to 676 of the family's 1533-position model. Lineage: Eukaryota; Bacillariophyta; Thalassiosirophyceae; Cymatosirales; Cymatosiraceae. The record is from RNAcentral.